This 1208-nucleotide long non-coding RNA is filed under the name Sus scrofa (pig). Its description in RNAcentral is "lncRNA (ENSSSCG00015058153.1)". Lineage: Eukaryota; Metazoa; Chordata; Mammalia; Artiodactyla; Suidae. The record is from RNAcentral.
GUGUUAAGCUGGAAUUUUACCUUAGUUCUUUUACUGCCUUUGGGUGGUUCUAUACUUGUUUGUGGAUUUCUUCCUAUGCUAAAUGGUGUUAACCCCAUCUUUUUUCUGCCUCUUUGAGGUGAAUUUCCCAUGGAAAUGACUGUUUCUCUCCACCCCAUUCCUUUUUGGCCAGGGGUGCAAGAUCAAAAAGAUUAUAGUUUGAUAUAGUAAUGAAUGAGUAUUGGGGAAAUAAUUAUAAACUGUCAUGUCCUUUAGGAAUUUUUGUUCUCUUUAACUGUCUGCUUUCUGAAAAAGAUAGCUGCUUCUUGUACUUUUAUUGAUAACUAGACAAAGGAACUACUUGUGAACACCUUUAAGCUCGCUUGCUGUCUUUUUUUUUUUUUCCUUUUUUAUCUUUUUAUAGUUGUACCUGUGGCGUAUGGAAGUUCCCAGGCUAGGGGUCUAAUCAGAGCUACAGCUGCCAGUCUAUGCCAGAGCCGCAGCAACGCGGGAUCUGAGCUGCAUCUCUGACCUACACCACAGCUCAUGGCAACGCCGGAUCGUUAACCCACUGCGCAAGGCCAGGGGUGGAACCCGUAACCUCUUGGUUCCUAGUCAGAUUUGUUAAUCACUGAGCCACGACGGGAACUCCAAAUGUGAUUUUUUUUUUUUUUGAAAUGUAAAUGUGUUACUUGAAAAAAUAUUUGAGUAUUUGUAGUUUUGUGAUGGUGACUUUUGUGUCUUUUUUUUUUUAAUUUUUUUUUAUUUUGUCUUUUUGCCAUUUCUUUGGCCGCUACUGCGGCACAUGGAGAUUCGCAGGCUAGGGAUCUAAUCGGAGCUGUAACCUCGGCCUAUGCCAGAGCCACAGCCAUAGUAAUGCCAGAUCCGAGCCGUGUCUUCAACCUACACCACAACUCAUGGCAACGCUGGAUCCUUAACCCACUGACCGAAGCCAGCGAUCAAACCCGCAUCCUCGUGGUUCCUAGUCAGAUUCAUUAACCAUUGAGUUAAUGACGGGAACUCCUGUGAUAGUGACUUUUAAACCUUUUUUCACCUGACUGCUCUGAAGAAGAAUUUUAUAUCUUCCGUUAACUUUUGAGUUAAAUGUAAUCAUUCUUCUAACACGGAUGAAUUAUGUUACUUGAAAUUAAAACAUAGAAAAUUUAUACUCACCUCUUAUUCUCUUUUUUGGUCACCAACAUGAUACAUUAUUAGAUGUGUCCUUUUCU